UGGGGAAUAUUGCGCAAUGGGGGAAACCCUGACGCAGCGACGCCGCGUGCGGGAUGAAGGCCUUCGGGUUGUAAACCGCUUUUGAUUGGGAGCAAGCCCUUUGGGUGAGUGUACCUUUCGAAUAAGCGCCGGCUAACUACGUGCCAGCAGCCGCGGUAAUACGUAGGGCGCAAGCGUUAUCCGGAGUUAUUGGGCGUAAAGAGCUUGUAGGCGGUUCGUCGCGUCUGGUGUGAAAGCCCAUCGCUUAACGGUGGGUUUGCGCCGGGUACGGGCGGGCUAGAGUGCAGUAGGGGAGACUGGAAUUCCCGGUGUAACGGUGAAAUGUGUAGAUAUCGGGAAGAACACCAAUGGCGAAGGCAGGUCUCUGGGCUGUUACUGACGCUGAGAAGCGAAAGCGUGGGGAGCGAACAGG
RNAcentral lists this ribosomal RNA (412 nucleotides) under Verrucomicrobiota bacterium. RNAcentral's name for it is "Verrucomicrobia bacterium partial 16S ribosomal RNA". It matches the Rfam family "Bacterial small subunit ribosomal RNA", at positions 355 to 776 of the family's 1533-position model. The record is from RNAcentral. Lineage: Bacteria; Pseudomonadati; Verrucomicrobiota.